This 305-nucleotide unclassified non-coding RNA is filed under the name plant metagenome. Its description in RNAcentral is "partial contains 5.8S ribosomal RNA, internal transcribed spacer 2, and large subunit ribosomal RNA". The stretch from base 1 to 105 matches the Rfam family "5.8S ribosomal RNA", at positions 50 to 154 of the family's 154-position model. The record is from RNAcentral.
GAAAUGCGAUAAGUAAUGUGAAUUGCAGAAUUCAGUGAAUCAUCGAAUCUUUGAACGCACAUUGCGCCCGCCAGUAUUCUGGCGGGCAUGCCUGUUCGAGCGUCAUUUCAACCAUCAAGCCCCCGGCUUGUGUUGGGGACCUGCGGCUGCCCGCAGGCCCUGAAAAACAGUGGCGGGCUCGCUGUCACACCGAGCGUAGUAGCAUACAUUCUCGCUCAGGGCGUGCUGCGGGUUCCGGCCGUUAAACGACCUUCAUAACCCAAGGUUGACCUCGGAUCAGGUAGGAAUACCCGCUGAACUUAAGC